This 4647-nucleotide long non-coding RNA is filed under the name Sus scrofa (pig). RNAcentral describes it as "lncRNA (ENSSSCG00050068729.1)". Lineage: Eukaryota; Metazoa; Chordata; Mammalia; Artiodactyla; Suidae. The record is from RNAcentral.
UCAUAUUGGUAAAAGUCAUACAUAAUAUGCAUUUUUCCUGUAAAAGGAAAGUUGAAUAAAAGUGUUUACUAUGAAAGUUAGAGAUGAUUUUGAAUUAAAUAAUUAAAUAAUAGAACUUUUAUUUAUUUGUUCUUUGAUCAGAUGCACAUUUUUCAGGCACUAUAAGAUACUUUGAUUUUUAAUAUGAUAAGACUGAGACAAAAAUAUCUACUUGUCAACUGAAAUUCUAGUGAGAACAUUAGAUAUAUACACAAAAAUUAAAAUAGGAUACAAAUGAAAAAUGCACACAAAUGGGCAUUAGAUAAAUGAAAAAAUAUUUGUACUCAUUGGUUAUUAUAAAACAUAAAUUACAUUUUUUUACUUAUCAGAUUAGCCAAAUUUAAAAGGAUUGGUGGCCAGUUAUGGUUAAGAUAGGGAGAAAUAGGAACUUGCAAACACUAGUUUGGUAAUGCAACAGAAAAUUUAGAGAAGGUAAUUGGGAAGAAUGUAUUAAAUUUUAAAUGGGCCCACCUAUACCACAGUAAUUCCAUGUGUAGGUGAUUAUUCUGACAUAGCAGACAUAUGAGUUUUAUUUGAACUACAAACCAUAUAAGUUAUCACUAUAUAUUCAGAAAGUGUGAAGUUCUUUAUUUCUUCCCUCUGUGAAGGAAAAAGGGAAAUUAAUUUAGUUAUAAGCCACCCAUCUGAGCUUUAAUUUUCAAGGGCAAUAAUUACCUGAAAACUUCAUGUUUUUUAAUAACUGUAUUUCCUUCCCUCUAAACUUGUGUAGUUAGAGUAGGUUAUGCUUUUUCUUUGAAUAUAAUAAAACAGUGGAAGAGAUGACAGAAGAAAAGAGUAAGAAGAAAAAAAAAUCUUAAGAGGAUUUGUGGGAGGGGAUUUUAUUCCUAUUUUAUUUUCCCUAACAGUUCACCACAUCCAUCUCUUUAUAUUUACAAUGCCAUUAUUAGCUGGAAAACAAACUCAAUCUGGGAUUUAAAGAUUAUUGGGCCAGUUUACAAAAUUUAGGACAUCCAGAACUAGGUAGAAUGUUCUCUGAUGAUAUGAGCCUAAACAACUGUGAAGUUCUAGGUUUUAAUAUCUACUGAAAGUCAAUUAUUUGACAUAUAUUUCUUGUGAGUGAUAAUAAACAGCUGUGCUUCUUUGACACUAUUUGAAAGCAGUAACCUGGUAACAAAAAGAUAAUAUGUAAAUUGCUCAUUUUUAAAACAGUAAAUUUGGGAAUGAAACUAAACGAUUACAACUAAAAUGUUGCAUGGGGCCCCCAGUGACUGAAAUAAUGCCAGUUGCCAUUACUGCUCACCUUGAUUAACAGCUGUGCAUCAUGCCACCUAGACCCUUAAAAAGGAUCCUUUACGUUUUCAGUGUGGCUGUCAGUGUAAUCAGUACAUAUCCACAUUCAAUAAUUCACCAUAUUGAUGCAUUAUUCCAAGUAAAUAUGACAUAAUCACAUGAGAAUAUGAUAAAUUUCCUAGUUUACAUUCCAAAAAUAUUUAAAACUGAAAUAUGUUAGUAUGCUAACAAUACUAAAAUAAAUGAAUAAGUAAAUGAAUGAAUGAAUAAAUGAAUAAAUAAAUAAAUAAAUAAAUAAAGUGUUCUAAGGCUGCUGAAUGACUUUUUAGAUAGUUCUGAUUGACAGCUGAACCAAGGCAUGUACCCCUCAGGUUGGGCCUACCUUCUAGAGCAAUGGAGAAUUUUGCCUUUUGAGUCAUGCAGCAAAUUGUACUUGACAAGCCCUCCCCAGAUGAGUGAAGAAACAGACAUAUUUUGAAACCCUCAAACUUUACCAUAUAGCUUAUGUAUUUGUUAUGUUCAAUGUUUGUGUUAAAAUGAUAUGAUGGUGAUGUUUAUAAUGAAAUGACAAUCCUUUUAAAAAUUAUCACAUUUUUUAAUAUAUUAAGAAGGAACUAUAAAAAGAAUUAAAAUAAUAUUUACUGAAUGCCAAGUGAAUGUCACACACAUGAUUUCUUUAAGAGAAAUAGUGCUUGUUUGGGUAUUCCUAAUAGUCUAAAUUUAUUUUCAUUUAUUUUUAAAAGUGUCUUAAUCUCCAAACCCAGGCUAUAUGCAGUUAGAAAUCUAACGUCUUCUUAUCAGUAACAUUAUGAAUUUUCUGAUAUCUUUUCUUUUCCUCUAAGAAAUUUUCGCUAAGAUUUAUUUCCACCUAUGCUCAAUUACUCUUCUCUGUAUUACUUUUUUUGUUUAUUCUCUCAUAUAUAUCCCAUAUAAGCCCCAAAGUAAAGUGAAGCUCUCUAUUUCCUUUAUUGGCUCCCAACAUUCAACAGGCACAUGACAAGUAGUGAAAUAUUGGAUAAUCAAGAAGCAGCAUGGCUUGGAAACUGACGUAAAAUUUAAUAGCUUACAAAACAUAUUUGUUCUUGCAAGUUUACUAGCCAUUCCUCUUAACAGGCACGUUUUCUCCCAAGUCCCUGCUCUUAAGAAAACUGCUGUCUUUCUCAUUGAAUCUUUUUCCUUUUUCUUUCUAACUCUAUCCAAAACUACUUCUUUAGGGCAUUCCCCACGUUCCCUGUCUCCCCUUACAAAAAUAUUAUACUUCUUUCACAGAUCAAAUCAGCCAUCCAUUUAUUUAUUCAUUAGCUUCUAAAUCUUAAGAUUCAUACUAUGUUUUUAUACAAAAAAAAAUGCCAAAAAUGCACUUUACUAAAAGAACAAGCACAAAAAAAUUACCCUAAGGUUUUUACAUUAAAGAUAGAAUCUUUAUUCGAAAAGGUGUUGAUACUCUCACUUUCAAAAAAAAAAAAAAAACACUGAGACUCAGAGAUUAGUUAGCCUGUCCAAGUCACACAUUUGGUGAGAAUUUGUAUUUGUAUCAGUAUGCCUGUUGGUAUGAACUCUCGCCUUUGAAUUUUUGUUUUUAAUUGACAUUAUUGGUACAGCCACUGUAAAAAACAGUACAGAGGUUUCUUGAAAAAUUUAAAAAUAGAACUAUUCUAUGACCCAGCAAUUCCACUCCUGGGUAUAUCUUUGAAAACAAAAACACUAAUCUGAAAAUACAUUUACUUCAACACUAUGUACAGUUGCCAAGGUAUGGAAGCAACCAAAGUGUCCAUACACAGAUGAAUGGGGAAAGAAGAUGUAGUGUGUCUAUAUACAUGGAAUAUUACCCAGCCAUAAAAAGAACAGAAUUUUGCCAUUUGCAGCAAUACAGAUGGUCUUAGACGGCAUUAUGUUAAGUGAAAUCAGACAAAGACAAACACUACAUGAUAUCACUUAUGUGUGGAAUCUAAAAAAUACAACAUACUAGUGAAUAUGACAAAAAAGAAAUGUGAUAUUUCUAAUGAUAUUUUUACAUACACACACAUAUGAUAUCUGCAGGAAAAUCUAAAAUCUAGAAAAUAUGUAUAGAAUACUUAAUAUCUUCACCUACAGGUAUUUUGUUGAAUCUAUUAUCUGUUUAUAAUCUCUGUUUAAACAACUGCUGUACAAACACUUGUGCUUUGAAACCUAUGUGUUCUUCCAGAAGAUAUCAUUGAAAGUAUCACAUUUUAUUUCCAUGUUAUGCCUCUGGAGGCACUCUGAAAGCAUUUUAAUUAAGUCCUUUUGGAUAUAAUACUUUCUACUACCUUGGAUAAUUGUCAGGUAUUAAAUUAUUAGGUUUUUGAGUAAACAACAUUUGAGAAAAUGUGGGAGAAAAUAAUAUAUUUUAUAAAAUGUUGUAAUAAAGUUCACAAUUGACCUUUGACUAUUAGGAAUUAUAUAUUUGUUGUUAAAAUGUGUAAUGAACUGUUGAAUUAUCAGAAAGUAAAAACAAAAACAAAAACAAAAACAAAACCUGUGACUUCCUCCUAGAAAGGUUUCAGGGUAGCUUCCAGCUUCCACCUUUAUCAAACAAAUAUAAAGGGUUAUGUUACACUUAAAAUCAAAUGGAAGAGGUAGCCAUUGUUGUUUCAUAUUGUUGCUCAUUACAUUCCUUUACGGAAUUCCACCAUAACUGCAUCAUAAGUUUUUUACCAGGUAUAUAUUAAACACUUCUAUUUCAGAGUAAAAAUAGAUGCAAAGACCAUGGAUACAUAGAACUUAUGUGUUUGUUCUAGUCUAUCUUUCCCUAUUACUAUAUCUACUUCUGCCUUCAUGUGCUUGAGCUACCAUAACAGAAUACCAUAUAUUGGGUGGCUUAAAAACAUAAGUUCAUAUUCUCACAGACUUGGAGCUUGGAAAGUCUAAGACGAAGGUGUUAGUAGGAUGGGGUUUCUGGUGAGAACUCUUUGCCUGGGUUGCAGAUGGCUACCUUCUUGCUGUGACCUCACAAUGUAAAGAGAAAGAGCAUGGCUGUUUUUCCUUUACCUCUAAGGGCAUCAGCUCUAUCAGGUCAGGGCCUCACUCUUAUCAUAUAACCUUAUUUAUAGUUUAUCCCCAAAUAGAAUCAUAUUGGGAGUUACGGCUUCAACAUAUAGAUUUUAGGGGAAUAUAUAUUCCAUGGCAACUCUUUUGUCUCUAUGUAUAAGGAAAGUAAGAAAAAUCAAUUUUGCAAAAUUUUUUCAAUCUAAAUAAAAUGUUAAUUUUAUUUUUAAAAGCGGCAGAAGUUUUCAGAAAUGCUUGCUGCAGCACAGAAAAUGAGACUAUUAACUGUAGAAAAAAAUGACCCUGUCAACACUUGAUCAAUGUGUUGCCUUCUGAUUAACUUUGUCUGUU